GACCCUUUAAAAAAAGCAAAAAAAAAAAAAAAAAAAAAAAAGGCAAAGAAAAGAAACAAUACUGCAGCCAUGGGGCGGGGUCCUGGUUCCUCUUCAAGGAAUAUGCAUAACAAUAAUUUCGAGUUCUUCUAUAGAAAUAAAACCCCCAACAAAUGAAAGCCAGAGAGGAGGACCACCAGCACCAGUCCUGGGGCCACUAAACACCAACUUCAAAGAAGAAUGAAAGUUUGCAUCUACCCUGAUCCUUAUCGGUGGCCCUAUUUUCUACUCCCAACUAUUCUAAAUACUUCCUGUUCUCUCCCAAAGCAGAGCAUAUAUUUUAAGGCAUUAGCCUGCUGUGGCCUCCUUUGCCUGGCAAAGCAAUAAAGCUAUUUUUUUUCCUCCUUCACCCAAACUCUGUCUCUCUGUUUCUAUUUGGCACCCAUGGACAGAAGCUGAGUUUCAGCAAUAGGUGCACACCUAGAGCCCUGCUUUGCUAGGCUUCUGCCUCACCCUGAAAUGCACAGCAACAUUGACUCUACUAGUUUCUCUAAGACAAGGAAAAUGGUAAAGCACAAGAAUAGACAAGGGGUCUGCUGAGGGCGGAGGAUCCAGUGGGCAGAAAUGUGAGGUCAUGAGGUCCACCAGCCCAAGGAACAUCCCGCUCCCAAUCAGAGUGAGAAAUAAGUAUUGCCUGCCAUAUAAAAGGUCUUCACAAUCAUCAGCCCUUGCAGCCCCCUCCAAGGAUGAGCCAGUGAGCCCUGAGGAAACCCAGAAAGGAAACAAAGAAUACCUGCCAUCCUGCAGCCACCAGACUGCAGCCACUCGCAAGGUAAGCCCUGAGGAAACUCAGGAUGUGAAAACAGGAUACUAGCAUAUCAAAGGAGGGAUUUCACAGAGCCCAAAGCUUGCCUCUUCCCACACAUAGAAAAACACCAAAUUCCUUAACUUGAGGUAUCUAGUUUUCUGUUAUUAGCAAUAAUCUUUCAUUCCUACUACCUGCAACAAAAAGGAGUUUUGUUGCAAAACUCCUUUCCAUCCUAGCUCCUCCCUCGUUUCCUGGGAGCAGAUUUCUCAGGAUUACUUAAGAUGCUGCCUCCCUGACCUAAGUCCUCAGUUUUUUUCACUGAAUAAAACAUAACUUUCAACUUUUAGGUUGUGCAUAUUUUUUUAGUCGGCAGUUACGGUGACCAGUGACAAAGGAACCAGAGCAAUCUUCUCUUCUUCGCCCGAACUCUGCAAGAAUCCAGAGUCUUGGUACCAGCAGAGGCACUUUGGGUCAUUCCACCUCCUUGGGGAGUCCAGACGAAUUUGGGGUUUGAUGGAGCAAGUAGCUGAUGCAUCUUGGAAAGAAGUGUUUGAGGACAGAAGGUGAGAAUCACCUCAAUUUCAAGAUAUGAUGAGCAGCUGGGGAGAGGACAACGCAAGACAUGGAUACUGAAACCCCCACCUGAUGGAAGAAGUUAAAUACAUCAUGACCAGACUGUAACCAUGACAUAAGCUACCACAAUUCUGAGAACUGGCCUCAAAGAAAUGGGAAUGAACCGACCCUGGAACAUUACUUAAAGCAAUAGAGAUUGGAGUUGCCACUGUGGUGCAGUGGGUUAAGAAUUCAGCUGCACCAGCUUGGGUUGUGGCAGAGGCACAGUUUGAUCCCUGGCCUGGGAUCAAAGAUCCAGCAUUGCUGCAGCUGCUAUGUAGUUCACAGCUUUAGCUCAGCUUCAGUCCCUGGCCUGAGGAACUGCCUUAUAUUGUGGGUGUGACCAUAAAACAAGAAAGCAAACAGUAACCCUGAAGUUUUGAUG
Non-coding RNA from Sus scrofa (pig), 1784 nucleotides. Lineage: Eukaryota; Metazoa; Chordata; Mammalia; Artiodactyla; Suidae. The record is from RefSeq and is a predicted model, not a curated record.